UGGGGAAUAUUGGACAAUGGGCGAAAGCCUGAUCCAGCCAUGCCGCGUGUGUGAAGAAGGUCUUCGGAUUGUAAAGCACUUUAAGUUGGGAGGAAGGGCAUUAACCUAAUACGUUAGUGUUUUGACGUUACCGACAGAAUAAGCACCGGCUAACUCUGUGCCAGCAGCCGCGGUAAUACAGAGGGUGCAAGCGUUAAUCGGAAUUACUGGGCGUAAAGCGCGCGUAGGUGGUUUGUUAAGUUGGAUGUGAAAUCCCCGGGCUCAACCUGGGAACUGCCUUCAAAACUGACUGACUAGAGUAUGGUAGAGGGUGGUGGAAUUUCCUGUGUAGCGGUGAAAUGCGUAGAUAUAGGAAGGAACACCAGUGGCGAAGGCGACCACCUGGACUAAUACUGACACUGAGGUGCGAAAGCGUGGGGAGCAAACA
This 427-nucleotide ribosomal RNA is filed under the name uncultured bacterium. RNAcentral describes it as "partial 16S ribosomal RNA". It matches the Rfam family "Bacterial small subunit ribosomal RNA", at positions 355 to 774 of the family's 1533-position model. The record is from RNAcentral.